RNAcentral lists this unclassified non-coding RNA (336 nucleotides) under soil metagenome. Its description in RNAcentral is "partial contains 5.8S ribosomal RNA, internal transcribed spacer 2, and large subunit ribosomal RNA". The stretch from base 1 to 120 matches the Rfam family "5.8S ribosomal RNA", at positions 35 to 154 of the family's 154-position model. The record is from RNAcentral.
GAUGAAGAACGCAGCGAAAUGCGAUAAGUAAUGUGAAUUGCAGAAUUCAGUGAAUCAUCGAAUCUUUGAACGCACAUUGCGCCCGCCAGUAUUCUGGCGGGCAUGCCUGUUCGAGCGUCAUUUCAACCAUCAAGCCCCAGGCUUGUGUUUGGGACCUGCGGCUGCCGCAGGCCCUGAAAACCAGUGGCGGGCUCGCUGUCACACCGGGCGUAGUAGAUUUUAUCUCGCUCAGGGCGUGCUGCGGGUUCCGGCCGUUAAAAAGCCUUUUUUACCCAAGGUUGACCUCGGAUCAGGUAGGAAGACCCGCUGAACUUAAGCAUAUCAAUAAGCGGAGGA